RNAcentral lists this unclassified non-coding RNA (188 nucleotides) under uncultured spirochete. Lineage: Bacteria; Pseudomonadati; Spirochaetota; Spirochaetia; Spirochaetales. The record is from RNAcentral.
UAUUCUGAAAAAGCUCCAGGGGCCUGAGGAAUGCGGUGCAAAUCCGCAGCGGUCCCGCCACUGUAACCGGGGAUGGAUGCAGCAGGUCGGUGUCAAGCCGACAGCCAUUGCGGCAUAAAGCCGCGAGAAGGCGCUGCAUUUCAGAUGAUCCGGAAGCCAGGAUACCGCUCUGGGGCGAGCCCGAUAUG